This is a long non-coding RNA of Sander lucioperca (pikeperch), 464 nucleotides long. RefSeq lists it as uncharacterized. The record is from RefSeq and is a predicted model, not a curated record. NCBI's taxonomy places the organism in Eukaryota, Metazoa, Chordata, Actinopteri, Perciformes, Percidae. The transcript has 3 exons.
UUACGAGCAACUAAAACAAGAAAUCGAUGCACUUCGAGAGCAACUGAAAACAUGCCAUCUGUCCAAAUUUGGACUGCAGCGGUUUGCCUCUUCUCCAGAAGACAUACGAUUUUACACCAGGUUCCCAUCCUACACGCACCUGAUGGCGUUUUGGAGCCUGAUUGAGUCUGCAACAUCAAAAAUGAUCAGAGUGACCAGCAGAGCCAGGAAAGCAUGCGACAUUAGCACAGUCACUGAGAGCCCUAUGACCAGACCAACUAAACUGCUGCCAAUAGAUGAGCUGUUCCUUUUCUUGACUUACCUGUCAACUGGCUGUACCCAAAGGGAACUGUCUCAUCGCUUCAACAUCCACAGAACAACAGUAGGCCGUAUCAUAGUCACUUGGGCCAACUUUCUGUACUCCCUGUUGGGCUCGAUCUGUUUUUGGAUGUCCCCUGCAGCUGUGAAGACCUGUCUACCUCCUG